AUGGUAUCUACGAAGAAGCAUUUUUUUUAUCCUCUUGUCUAUCGACUUUUGGAAUUAGUACUGACUCUUCCUGUUGGCACUGCAACCGUUGAGAGAUGCUUCUCUGCAAUGAAGCUUGUGAAGAAUGCUUUACGUAACAAGAUGGGUGAUGAUUAUUUGAGCAAUAGCCUUAUUUGCUUUGUAGAAAAGAAAAUGUUAGAUAAUAUUACUAAUGAGGUGAUAGUUAAACGCUUUCAUGCGAAAAACCGACGUGGGAUGAAACGGAAGGAGGUAAUGUUCUCAAGCUUAUUUUAUCUAUUUAUCAGUAUUUACAUUCUCUCAAUAUUUAAAGAUGUUUCUUUUUCAUGCAGCUUGAAGCUUAGAAAUUUGGGGCGUAUGAAUAAAAAGGAACGACAUAUUGAUUUCUCAAGUUUUUGUGCCUUAAGUGGUUAG
RNAcentral lists this ribosomal RNA (432 nucleotides) under Triticum aestivum (bread wheat). RNAcentral describes it as "partial small subunit ribosomal RNA". The record is from RNAcentral. Lineage: Eukaryota; Viridiplantae; Streptophyta; Magnoliopsida; Poales; Poaceae.